RNAcentral lists this ribosomal RNA (429 nucleotides) under Chloroflexota bacterium. RNAcentral's name for it is "Chloroflexi bacterium partial 16S ribosomal RNA". It matches the Rfam family "Bacterial small subunit ribosomal RNA", at positions 355 to 776 of the family's 1533-position model. Lineage: Bacteria; Bacillati; Chloroflexota. The record is from RNAcentral.
UGGGGAAUAUUGCACAAUGGGCGCAAGCCUGAUGCAGCCAUGCCGCGUGUAUGAAGAAGGCCUUCGGGUUGUAAAGUACUUUCAGUCGGGAGGAAGGUGGUAAGGUUAAUAACCUUAUCAAUUGACGUUACCCGCAGAAGAAGCACCGGCUAACUCCGUGCCAGCAGCCGCGGUAAUACGGAGGGUGCAAGCGUUAAUCGGAAUUACUGGGCGUAAAGCGCACGCAGGCGGUUUGUUAAGUCAGAGGUGAAAUCCCCGGGCUCAACCUGGGAACUGCAUCUGAUACUGGCAAGCUUGAGUCUCGUAGAGGGGGGUGGAAUUCCAGGUGGAGCGGUGAAAUGCGUAGAGAUCUGGAGGAAUACCGGUGGCGAAGGCGGCCCCCUGGACGAAGACUGACGCUCAGGUGCGAAAGCGUGGGGAGCAAACAGG